RNAcentral lists this ribosomal RNA (301 nucleotides) under uncultured bacterium. RNAcentral describes it as "partial 16S ribosomal RNA". It matches the Rfam family "Bacterial small subunit ribosomal RNA", at positions 509 to 807 of the family's 1533-position model. The record is from RNAcentral.
CAGCCGCCGCGGUAAUACAGAGGGUGCGAGCGUUAAUCGGAUUUACUGGGCGUAAAGCGUGCGCAGGCGGUUCGUUAAGACAGAUGUGAAAUCCCCGGGCUUAACCUGGGAACUGCAUUUGUGACUGGCGAGCUAGAGUAUGGCAGAGGGGGAUGGAAUUCCGCGUGUAGCAGUGAAAUGCGUAGAUAUGCGGAGGAACACCGAUGGCGAAGGCAACCCCCUGGACCUGUACUGACGCUCGUGCACGAAAGCGUGGGGAGCAAACAGGAUUAGAUACCCGAGUAGUCCCUGUCUCUUAUAC